Molecule: ribosomal RNA, 460 nt
Filed under: uncultured bacterium
Lineage: Bacteria
Description: partial 16S ribosomal RNA
Rfam family: Bacterial small subunit ribosomal RNA
Source: RNAcentral
CCUACGGGAGGCAGCAGUGAGGAAUAUUGGUCAAUGGGCUUACGCCUGAACCAGCCAAGUCGCGUGAGGGAAGACUGCCCUAUGGGUUGUAAACCUCUUUUGUCAGGGAGCAACGCCGGCUACGUGUAGCCGGACUGAGAGUACCUGAAGAAAAAGCAUCGGCUAACUCCGUGCCAGCAGCCGCGGUAAUACGGAGGAUGCGAGCGGUAUCCGGAUUUAGUGGGUUUAAAGGGGGCGUAGGCGGAAUGCAAAGGCAGCGGUAAAAUCUGGGGGCUCAACCUCGCUCCGCCGUUGAAACUGGCGUUCUUGAGUGGGCGAGAAGUAUGCGGAAUGCGUGGUGUAGCGGUGAAAUGCAUAGAUAUCACGCAGAACUCCGAUUGCGAAGGCAGCAUACCGGCGCCCGACUGACGCUGAGGCACGAAAGCGUGGGGAUCGAACAGGAUUAGAUACCCCUGUAGUC